Long non-coding RNA from Daphnia pulex (common water flea), 778 nucleotides. RefSeq lists it as uncharacterized. The transcript has 3 exons. The record is from RefSeq and is a predicted model, not a curated record. NCBI's taxonomy places the organism in Eukaryota, Metazoa, Arthropoda, Branchiopoda, Diplostraca, Daphniidae.
AAUAGCCGCAAGGCUUAGAAGGGGAAUGGUGAGAAAAAAUCGUAUAAAAGGAGAGAGAAAAGUGCGAAGGAAAAUCAGUCGAGUGUGAAUCUCCGGCACGGCAACAGUUGCAGUGCACUCUGUCACCAACUGCCAUCUUCAUCGUACCAAAUUCGCUAUCAUGGUGGUGCUGCAAUUUGCUAGUGGUGUUUUAUCGUUGAUGGCUGUGCUGACCACUGGUGUACCGAUGUCUCCUGGGUAUGGCGGAUACCAAACCGCAACUCCGCCGCCUCCCACACAACAACAACAUACGCAACAAUCGGUUACUACACCACCAAGGCUGAGUACUACCACAACUUAAAAUGCCCUGAGCUACUACAAGGCAACAACUGCAUUGCCCUAUCACUGCAUUCCUCAUCGUGUAAACGAUUCGCAAUAAUGGUUAAAGUCGUGCUGCUGUUGGGCGCUGUAUGGUUGGGUCGACCACUGACUGGUGUACCGAUGUCUCCUGGGUAUAGCGGAUACCAAACCAAAACCCCGCCGCCUUACUAAAAAACAACUUUACGACCAGUUACUACACCGACACCCCCAAGUACUACACCACUAAGUCACCGGAGUAUGAUGCCAUAACUUACGCUUCCCCGAGCUACUACACCGAUGCCCCGAAUUAUUACUCUGCCUCAAGCUACACCACCAAGGCAGCGGAGUACUACACGACUACACCGAGGCUCCAGCUACUACACCGAGGCUCCAGCUACUACACCGAGGCUCCAGCUACUACACCGAGGCUCCAGCUACU